UGGGGAAUUUUGGACAAUGGGCGAAAGCCUGAUCCAGCAAUGCCGCGUGUGUGAAGAAGGCCCUCGGGUUGUAAAGCACUUUUGUCCGGAAAGAAAUCCUUGGCUCUAAUACAGUCGGGGGAUGACGGUACCGGAAGAAUAAGCACCGGCUAACUACGUGCCAGCAGCCGCGGUAAUACGUAGGGUGCAAGCGUUAAUCGGAAUUACUGGGCGUAAAGCGUGCGCAGGCGGUUUGCUAAGACCGAUGUGAAAUCCCCGGGCUCAACCUGGGAACUGCAUUGGUGACUGGCAGGCUAGAGUAUGGCAGAGGGGGGUAGAAUUCCACGUGUAGCAGUGAAAUGCGUAGAGAUGUGGAGGAAUACCGAUGGCGAAGGCAGCCCCCUGGGCCAAUACUGACGCUCAUGCACGAAAGCGUGGGGAGCAAACAGGAUUAGAUACCCCGGUAGUCCACGCCCUAAACGAUGUCAACUAGUUGUUGGGGAUUCAUUUCCUUAGUAACGUAGCUAACGCGUGAAGUUGACCGCCUGGGGAGUACGGUCGCAAGAUUAAAACUCAAAUGAAUUGACGGGGUCAUAGCUGUUUCCU
This 585-nucleotide ribosomal RNA is filed under the name uncultured bacterium. RNAcentral's name for it is "partial 16S ribosomal RNA". It matches the Rfam family "Bacterial small subunit ribosomal RNA", at positions 355 to 1375 of the family's 1533-position model. The record is from RNAcentral.